CUUUUGAAUAGUUCUCAUUAUGUUAGACAUUUUUAGCCAUUUUACAAAACAUAUGCCCCAAGAAAAGCCUGUACACUGAUAAAUAGUAUUUUUCAGCCCAAUGUUUUAAAAUGAAAUGACCUCCCUGCAUCUCUGGGCAGAACUGAAAACAAGAUUUUAAACCUCAUCUCCUCCAGGUCUGUUCACACUUUUGCUUGGGUCUCCAACGCUGUUUCACAAGAAGGUCAUCCAUCCCAAGCUGAGGAAGUCUCUGGAGUCAUCAGGAAACAACAGGCUGGUGACUGGACCAGUCAGGCUGCAGAAACUCUGAGGGCAGAGCUAGCAGAGAUGAGGACUGUCUGGCCACUGACUGUCUGUGGAAAAGGGACCAGGAUGCUGGUGGGUACUGGUUACCCCAACAUCACAGGAGACCUUGCAGCGAAGGUGACUGGUGGUGGGUCUUUGGGGGUGCUGGGGCACCAGGCUGUGCUGGCCAGUGGUUCCCCUCCAGAUGGGCACUGGUGAGACUAUGUCUGGGCACUGGGUCCCCAUAUGGGUCUCCCAGUAGAAUGGACAGUGACAGACUGGAGGUGCUGGAGCCUGGGCUGUGUGGGUUUUAUUACCAAGCUGUCCACUUUGACUCAUACCUCAACUACGUGCAUUUAAUCCACACCUCCUCCAUCAUCAAAUCUGCUCUGCCCAUGGCCAUAAUUUUUGACCUCUUUGCCAUGAUCUGCAGCCCCCGAAGCCUGCAUCCCUCCUGGCAAACUCUGUGGCACUAAAACUGGUGUGGGGUUAACCAUCCAGGCAGCACUUCUGGUGUUCCUGACUGCCUUUCCUCUGAAGAUACUGCCAUAUCACUGGGUAAACGGUCUCUCACAGUAUUUCUUGUCUACUCCAGGAUAUCAUCAAGACCAGAGUGGACAGGGCUUUGAAAAAUGUGGUCUGGUGAGAGGUGUCCCUGCCCAUGGCAGAGGGGUUGGAACUUGAUGAUCUUUAAGGUCCCUUCCAACCCAAACCAUUCUAUGAUCAUCAGUGUGGCCCCAGUCACAUUUACAUGACAUUUAUGAGA
Molecule: long non-coding RNA, 1051 nt
Filed under: Calidris pygmaea (Spoon-billed sandpiper)
Lineage: Eukaryota; Metazoa; Chordata; Aves; Charadriiformes; Scolopacidae
Description: lncRNA (ENSCPGG00000009678.1)
Source: RNAcentral